This 440-nucleotide ribosomal RNA is filed under the name uncultured bacterium. RNAcentral's name for it is "partial 16S ribosomal RNA". It matches the Rfam family "Bacterial small subunit ribosomal RNA", at positions 338 to 795 of the family's 1533-position model. The record is from RNAcentral.
CCUACGGGCGGCAGCAGUGGGGAAUAUUGCACAAUGGGGGAAACCCUGACGCAGCGACGCCGCGUGAGUGAAGAAGUAUUUCGGUACGUAAAGCUCUAUCAGCAGGGAAGAAAAUGACGGUACCUGACUAAGAAGCCCCGGCUUACUACGCGCCAGCAGCCGCGGUAAUACGUAGUGUGCAAGCGUUAUCCUGAUUUACUGGGUGUAAAGGGAGCGUAGACGGCAGCGCAAGUCUGGAGUGAAAUCCCAUGGGUUAACCAUGGAACUGCUUUGGAGACUGUGCAGCUAGAGUGCAGGAGAGGUAAGCGGAAUUCCUAGUGUAGCGGUGAAAGGCGUAGAUAUUAGGAGGAACACCAGUGGCGAAGGCGGCUUACUGGACUGUAACUGACGUUGAGGCUCGAAAGCGUGGGGAGCAAACAGGAUUAGAUACCCUAGUAGUC